CGGGGUGUAGCUCAGCUGGCCCAGAGCGUCCCGUUUGGGACGGGAAGGCCGUCCGUUCAAAUCGGACCACCCCGA
Molecule: transfer RNA, 75 nt
Filed under: Elusimicrobia bacterium HGW-Elusimicrobia-1
Lineage: Bacteria; Pseudomonadati; Elusimicrobiota
Description: tRNA-Pro
Source: RNAcentral